This 508-nucleotide ribosomal RNA is filed under the name uncultured bacterium. RNAcentral describes it as "partial 16S ribosomal RNA". It matches the Rfam family "Bacterial small subunit ribosomal RNA", at positions 30 to 523 of the family's 1533-position model. The record is from RNAcentral.
AUUGAACGCUGGCGGCAUGCCUUACACAUGCAAGUCGAACGGCAGCGGGGGAGAAGCUUGCUUUUCCUGCCGGCGAGUGGCGAACGGGUGAGUAAUACAUCGGAACGUGCCCUGUAGUGGGGGAUAACUAGUCGAAAGAUUAGCUAAAACCGCAUACGACCUGAGGGUGAAAGUGGGGGACCGCAAGGCCUCAUGCUAUAGGAGCGGCCGAUGUCUGAUUAGCUAGUUGGUGGGGUAAAGGCCUACCAAGGCGACGAUCAGUAGCUGGUCUGAGAGGACGAUCAGCCACACUGGGACUGAGACACGGCCCAGACUCCUACGGGAGGUAGCAGUGGGGAAUUUUGGACAAUGGGCGAAAGCCUGAUCCAGCAAUGCCGCGUGUGUGAAGAAGGCCUUCGGGUUGUAAAGCACUUUUGUCCGGAAAGAAAUGGCUCUGGUUAAUACCUGGGGUCGAUGACGGUACCGGAAGAAUAAGGACCGGCUAACUACGUGCCAGCAGCCGCGGUAA